CCCUUAGAUGUCCUGGGCCGCACGCGCGCUACACUGAUGCAUUCAACGAGUUUUACCUUGGCCGAGAGGCCUGGGCAAUCUUUUAAACCUGCAUCGUGAUAGGGAUAGAUUAUUGCAAUUAUUAAUCUUGAACGAGGAAUUCCUAGUAAACGCAAAUCAUCAAUUUGCAUUGAUUACGUCCCUGCCCUUUGUACACACCGCCCGUCGCACCUACCGAUUGAAUGGUCCGGUGAAGCCUCGGGAUUGUGGCCAGUUCACUUUAUUGGGAGUUGGCUGCGAGAACUUGUCUAAACCUGAUCAUUUAGAGGAAGGUGAAGGCGUAACA
Molecule: ribosomal RNA, 325 nt
Filed under: uncultured eukaryote
Lineage: Eukaryota
Description: partial 18S ribosomal RNA
Rfam family: Eukaryotic small subunit ribosomal RNA
Source: RNAcentral